This 389-nucleotide ribosomal RNA is filed under the name uncultured bacterium. RNAcentral's name for it is "bacterial SSU rRNA". It matches the Rfam family "Bacterial small subunit ribosomal RNA", at positions 121 to 507 of the family's 1533-position model. The record is from RNAcentral.
GGAACGUCGCCCAGUCGGUGGGGAAUAACGUAGACGAAAGUUACGCUAAUACCGCAUACGAUCUAAGGAUGAAAGCGGGGGAUCGCAAGACCUCGCGCGAUUGGAGCGGCCGAUAUCAGAUUAGGUAGUUGGUGGGGUAAAGGCUCACCAAGCCAACGAUCUGUAGCUGGUCUGAGAGGACGACCAGCCACACUGGAACUGAGACACGGUCCAGACUCCUACGGGAGGCAGCAGUGAGGAAUAUUGGUCAAUGGGCGCAAGCCUGAACCAGCCAUGCCGCGUGAAGGAAGAAGGUUCUAUGGAUUGUAAACUUCUUUUAUUUAGGAAUAAACCUCCCGACGUGUCGGGAGCUGAAGGUACUAAAUGAAUAAGCACCGGCUAACUCCGUG